Molecule: long non-coding RNA, 2866 nt
Filed under: Homo sapiens (human)
Lineage: Eukaryota; Metazoa; Chordata; Mammalia; Primates; Hominidae
Description: non-protein coding lnc-FAM174B-9:1
Source: RNAcentral
GGCAUCGGCCUGGAUGCCUGUGCAGGCUGUGGAAGGUUGGUUUUUUCCUUCUUCACAGUAAAUCUUAACACUGUUCAGUGUUUGGGUCUGCACUACCUUUAUGAGCUGUGAUACUCACUGUGGAGGUCUGCAGCUUCACUCCUGAAGUUAGCCAGACCAUGAACCCACCGGGAGGAACUAACAACUCCAGACGUGCCACCUCUAAGAGCCUUAACACUUAUUGGGAAGGUCUGCGGCUUCACUCCUAAAGUCAGGAAGACCAUGAACUCACCAGAAGGAAGAAAUUCUGGACACAUCUGAAGGAACAAAUUCCGGACACACCAUUUUUUUUUUUUUUUUUGAGGCGGAGUCUCACUCUGUCACCCAGGCUGUGGUGCAGUGGCGUGAUCUCAGAUCACUGCAACCUCUGCCUCUGGGACUCAAGCAAUUCUCCUGCUUCAGCCUCCUGAGUAGCUGGAAUUACAGGCAUGUACCACCAUGCCCGGCUAAUUUUUUUGUAUUUUUAGUAGAGACAGGGUUUCACCAUAUUGGCCAGGCUGGUCUCGAACUUCUGACCUUGUGAUCACCCACCUCGACCUCCCAAAGUGCUGGGAUUACAGGCAUGAGCCACCGCGCCCGGCCGUGGACACACCAUCUUUAAGUACUGUAACACCGCGAGGGUCCACGGCUUCAUUCUUGAAGUAAGCAAGAACCCACUGGAAGGAACAAAUUCCGGACACGCUUUCAUGUCAUAUUAGUUUCCUAGGGUAAUUGUAACAGUGUACCACAGGCAGUGGUUUAACAAGGGAAAUGUAUUGUCUUGAAGUUCUGAAGAUCAGAAGUCUGUGACUAAGGUGUAGGCAGGGUUGGUUCCUUCUGAGGCUGUGAGGAAGAGUCGUUUGCAUGCCUCUUCCCCUAGCUUCUGGUGGUUUUUUUUUUUUUUUUUUUGAGACAGUCUCACUCUGUCACCCAGACUGGAGUGCAGUGGUGCGAUCUCAGCUCACUGCAACCUGUACCUCCCCGGUUCAAGCUAGUCUCCUGCCUCAGCCUCCGGAGUAGCUGGGAUUACAGGCUCCCACCACCACGCCGGGCUGAUUUUUGUAUUUUUAGUAGGGAUGGGUUAUCACCAUGUUGGCCAGCCUGGUCUCGAACUUCUGAGCUCAGGUGAUCUGCCUGCCUUGGCCUCCCAAAGUGCUGGGAUUACAGGCCCGAGCAACUGUGCCUGGCUGCCUCUGGUGGUUUGCUAUCUUUGGUGUUCCUUGAUUUGUAGAAGCGUCACCCCUAUCUCCGCCUUCCUCUUUACAAAGCAUUAUCUCUGUGAGCAGUGUUUAUGUCUGAAUUUCCACUUUUGAUAAGGACCCCAGUUAUGUCGGAGUAGGUGCCCACCCUACUCCAGUAUGACCUCAUCUUAACUAACCACAUUUGCAGUUUCCAAAUAUUUCCAAAGAAGGUCACAUUCUGAGGUCACUGGGAGUUUGGAUUUCAACAUACGAAUUUCAGGGGGAGGGUGGCAGGGAUACGGUUUAACCCAAAACAUCUGUGAAUACAUUUUUCUUAGCAGAUAACUGUAAUGCAUUGUCCAAAUGAAAGACCUACACUCUGUGGACCUCAGAUGACGCGUUACGUAGGAAAGGUAAUUGUGACUACUCUCAUUCCCACAACAGUGGGUGUCUAGGAGCCCAAGAACUGACCUGUCUUAUUGAAUAGGCUGAGAGGAAAGCACGUCCAACUUUACUUCUGCCCAGAAAAGUACCUGGAAGCAGGAGUGUCCCCUCCCGCUACCACCAAUGCCAGUGGAGUAGAGUGCUUUGUUUCACUCAACUGUCACACUUCCGUGUAAGCUGCACUUUAUUACCAGCAUGGCAGUGGUUACCCAAGUGGUUCCAUCCCCAUUGCUCUGAUCACAUGGCUUCCACCGCCCACCCUCCCAGUACCUGGGCAGUUGUCAUUGCAGGUUCUCAUAUCUAGCUUGAUGGUAUUCUUCCUCUGCUUCAGUGGCAUCCUGGCCCAUGAAUGCCUCCAGCCCUCCUUUUCCAAGGUCCUGCCUUGUUCUCCGAAGAUUAAAAAAAGGGGCAAAAAUGAUGUUUUAGCUCAGGCCUCCAUAAUGCCUCCAGACAAUGGGUGCUUUUAAGUACGUAUUCAGCAGUUCCUCUUAUCUUAGAUCCUAUUAGAUCUGAAAUGCUCCCAUAAACAUAGUGUCAAAGCUCUACAAAAUGCAUUUCUAAUUCCUAGAAUGAAAUUAACUGAAAUCCAACUUUUGGAGCAGCGCGUUCCUGUAGCCAAUGAACUAGCCACAGAAAUGUUCCAGCAGUGACUGCCCACGAAUGUUGUCAGCAUCUUACAAUGUAUUUAACAAAACCCAGUAGACGGCAUACGCAGAAGCUUUCAGGGUCAUGGGAGCAUGGGCUGAGAGGGGCCUUUAAAAGAGAAGAAGACUAGGUGCCUUCUUGAAUGUGUAAUAUGAGAAAGAAAAUCCAGUGAGAUGAUUAGGUGAAGGUUAGUUUCAUGUCUCAACUUGGCUAGGCUAUGGUGCCCAAUAGUUUAUCAAACACUAGUCUAGAUGUUACUGUGAAGGUAUUUUGUAGAUGUAAUUAACAUUCACAGUCAGUUCACUUUAAGUAAAGUCAAUAAUAUCUCAUCAAAUCAGUUGAAGGCCUUGAGAGCAAAAACUGAGGUUUCCUGGAAGAGGAAGAAUUCUGCUUCAGGACUAACACAGAAAUUGUGCCUCAGUUUCCAACAUGCAGGCCCACCCUGUGCAUUUUGAACUUGCCUGCUCCCACAAUCAUGUGAACCAAUUUUUUAAGAUAACCUCCCUUCUCUAGGUAGAUUGAUUGACAUAAGCAAUGCUUUAAAUAUAUAUGAAACAGAUAUAUAUAUGUGUGUUGGU